CCAUUGCCAAAGCUGGGAAAGUCCCAGGCACACGGCGGCGAUGUUGAUUAGUCUCUGGGAAAUUCAGGGAAGUGCAGUCUUGGAGAUCGGGCUCUGUAAGUGGCGGGCUCCGGCUUUUCUUUAGUUUUAGUUAACAAGCAUGUCUUAGUGGGAAAAGGUGACUAAAAGCACUGACGUGCCUUAGGUCUGUUCUAAAUGGAUUAAUGAAUGCUGAGCCUGUCACUGGAAUUGGCUUUUUUUGUGUGGCUUUUUUUCCUCAGCCAUGGUGAUGGAUUUGUGGGAGACGUUGGGCCCGCCGAGAAUCACAGCCUGCAGUCACGGAACCGGACACUGGGAUUUGAGCCACCAAAGGGAACACAGUGAAGUAAUCAGCUCUGAAUGACCCUGGAUAUGUUUCAAAGGCUUUGUACCCUUUGACUUUUUUAACUGAUUCUCAUGAGCCAUGGACCUCUGGGGCCAUCGUGACUUCCCACAAGAUCAGGCACAUAGCAGGCACUUGUGCCCACACGUGUUCUUCCUCUCGUGGAUCCACCAUACCACGGGAGCUGCGGGGAGACUCCACAGUGGCCAUUUGAGUUGGUGCUCUUGCUGCUCUGCCCUCUUGAGGCCUGGUUCUUCAUCAUUUCCUGGCUUAGGCUCCCUGGUUGGGCACAGAGAGGAAGUCACUGUCUUUGGAUUUUCAGGACACCUGGAGUUUCCUUAGACUCCCUUUAUGCCACCUCACCUCUGCCCACUGCUACCUAGACUUUCCCUCCCAGGUGUUGUCACUGGCUGAACUUAUAGUUUGGAAUAAAACUAAGCAAUUUUAUUAAUUGUCA
RNAcentral lists this long non-coding RNA (818 nucleotides) under Ursus maritimus (polar bear). RNAcentral's name for it is "lncRNA (ENSUMAG00000011438.1)". The record is from RNAcentral. Lineage: Eukaryota; Metazoa; Chordata; Mammalia; Carnivora; Ursidae.